AUAAUGUCCCGUAAUUUUUGUUUUGUUUUUAUGCAUGCACUAAGCCACAGCAUCAGUUGAAAGUCAUUAAUUGUAAUCUUUUAUUGUGGUUCAGUUUUUUUUGUGAAAAAUUUCAUCGGUACUAAUAGAUUUUUUUUCUUAUUGUUUUAUAUAAAAUUCUUGUUAUGGAAGUUUCAGUGUAUUUUAUUUAAAAAAUAUAUUCAUUGCAUUUGAAGCUUUAAUUUAUUGUAAAACGAAUUUAUUUAAAAUUAAAACAUUUCAGAUAGUGCUCAGCAAAUACAACACUUUUGACUAAAAGUGGACAUGUGCCGUUUUUCCCCUGGAAACUUCAUUUAAAUAAAAAUAUGUUGUGGAUGCUUUCCCAAGAUAAGUGCAGUCAGAGUGGUACCAAACUGGUAGAUCCAUUGGUCAUUAUUAUUAAAAAAAAAUAUUAUUUUUAUGAAAAAUCUUAAAGAAAAAAAAACCUAAUUCAAUAAACUUUGAAUUUAAAAUUAUAAUAUUUCGAUAUUUUUUAUCGAAUGCAUGACUUGACAUAAAUAAAGUACCUACCCUUAUCGCAUGUAAAAAUUAAGAAAAUGCUAUUCUAUAGAGAUAACACUCACCGUUUAAUUUUUUGCUCUAUGCCAAUUUAGUUCUAGGAGAUUGUGUUUGUUUUUUGCAUGGAUUUGGUUUAAAUAUCGUUAACAACUUUUUACUUCACUGGUUUCAUUUCAGAUAACGUCAGCGAUUCUCGCGGUUUUGAAUUGUUCGAUGUAUAAAGAAAGGUGUUUUUGCAAUUCUUGCCUUGUUCCACAGGUUCUAAGUUCUGCAUUUCAUCCCUUUCAUACGUUUUUAUGUGACCCGCAUUUAAUAGCUGGGAGAACAACUGCCGUGUAGUGUCUUCCUUCUUUCAGCUUACCACAAUUUUUUGACCCCAGGAGAUGGCAGUUUUUCGCCACAUCAUCAUACACCCUAUGUUUAAACGAUGGUUCGUUGAUGCCGUCAUUUCAAGAUCCUUCACCAACCAUUGAUCAUAGAUCCAAAGUGUAUGCUAUUCAAUGUUGUUUUGUUUUUUUGAUUAACAUCAGUUAUGAUUCCUCCAUCUUCUAUCAUUAUUAUUUAACUGCAAAAAUAUAUAAUUUGGCAUAUUAUUAAAAUAAAAAAUACCCCAUUGCACAUUUGUAAAGUGUCUUAAUCUUUAUUUGGAAAACUUCGUAAAAAUUUACACGAAAUAAAAUAUUAUAUUUAUAUUAUAUGUAUACUUAAUUUUUUUGUUGUUGUUGUUGCUUUAAAUAUUAUGUUUUCUCAUUAUAUUUA
Episyrphus balteatus (marmalade hoverfly) is the source of this 1296-nucleotide long non-coding RNA. RefSeq lists it as uncharacterized. The record is from RefSeq and is a predicted model, not a curated record. The transcript is spliced from 3 exons. NCBI's taxonomy places the organism in Eukaryota, Metazoa, Arthropoda, Insecta, Diptera, Syrphidae.